RNAcentral lists this ribosomal RNA (772 nucleotides) under Escherichia coli. RNAcentral describes it as "partial 23S ribosomal RNA". It matches the Rfam family "Bacterial large subunit ribosomal RNA", at positions 2159 to 2925 of the family's 2925-position model. RNAcentral also lists the same sequence under 1 other name. Lineage: Bacteria; Pseudomonadati; Pseudomonadota; Gammaproteobacteria; Enterobacterales; Enterobacteriaceae. The record is from RNAcentral.
GAAGUGUGGACGCCAGUCUGCAUGGAGCCGACCUUGAAAUACCACCCUUUAAUGUUUGAUGUUCUAACGUUGACCCGUAAUCCGGGUUGCGGACAGUGUCUGGUGGGUAGUUUGACUGGGGCGGUCUCCUCCUAAAGAGUAACGGAGGAGCACGAAGGUUGGCUAAUCCUGGUCGGACAUCAGGAGGUUAGUGCAAUGGCAUAAGCCAGCUUGACUGCGAGCGUGACGGCGCGAGCAGGUGCGAAAGCAGGUCAUAGUGAUCCGGUGGUUCUGAAUGGAAGGGCCAUCGCUCAACGGAUAAAAGGUACUCCGGGGAUAACAGGCUGAUACCGCCCAAGAGUUCAUAUCGACGGCGGUGUUUGGCACCUCGAUGUCGGCUCAUCACAUCCUGGGGCUGAAGUAGGUCCCAAGGGUAUGGCUGUUCGCCAUUUAAAGUGGUACGCGAGCUGGGUUUAGAACGUCGUGAGACAGUUCGGUCCCUAUCUGCCGUGGGCGCUGGAGAACUGAGGGGGGCUGCUCCUAGUACGAGAGGACCGGAGUGGACGCAUCACUGGUGUUCGGGUUGUCAUGCCAAUGGCACUGCCCGGUAGCUAAAUGCGGAAGAGAUAAGUGCUGAAAGCAUCUAAGCACGAAACUUGCCCCGAGAUGAGUUCUCCCUGACCCUUUAAGGGUCCUGAAGGAACGUUGAAGACGACGACGUUGAUAGGCCGGGUGUGUAAGCGCAGCGAUGCGUUGAGCUAACCGGUACUAAUGAACCGUGAGGCUUAACCUU